Molecule: ribosomal RNA, 1509 nt
Filed under: metagenome
Description: bacterial SSU rRNA
Rfam family: Bacterial small subunit ribosomal RNA
Source: RNAcentral
AGAGUUUGAUCCUGGCUCAGGAUAAACGCUGGCGGCGCACAUAAGACAUGCAAGUCGAACGGAAGUCGUUACGAAAUGGAAUGAAGAUUUAUCUGAUUGAAGUUUUGUAACAAUGGCUUUAGUGGCGGACUGGUGAGUAACACGUAAGCAAUCUACCUAUUAGAGGGGAAUAACAAUGAGAAAUCAUUGCUAAUACCGCAUAAGCUUGUAGUACCGCAUGGUACAGCAAGAAAAGGAGCAAUCCGCUAAUAGAUGAGCUUGCGGCUGAUUAGCUAGUUGGUGUGGUAACGGCAUACCAAGGCAACGAUCAGUAGCCGGGCUGAGAGGCUCUUCGGCCACAUUGGGACUGAGAUACGGCCCAGACUCCUACGGGAGGCAGCAGUCGGGAAUUUUGCGCAAUGGAGGAAACUCUGACGCAGUGACGCCGCGUAUAGGAAGAAGGUUUUCGGAUUGUAAACUAUUUUAGUCAGGGAAGAAAAAUGACAGUACCUGAAGAAUAAGCUCCGGCUAACUACGUGCCAGCAGCCGCGGUAAUACGUAGGGAGCAAGCGUUAUCCGGAAUUAUUGGGCGUAAAGGGCGCGUAGACGGCUGAGUAAGUUACUGGUGAAAGCCCAGCUUUUAAGGCUGGAAUUGCCGGUAAUACUGUUCAGCUUGAGUGCAGGAGAGGGAAGCGGAAUUCCUAGUGUAGCGGUGAAAUGCGUAGAUAUUAGGAGGAACACCAGUGGCGAAGGCGGCUUUCUGGACUGUAACUGACGUUGAGGCGCGAAAGCGUGGGGAGCAAACAGGAUUAGAUACCCUGGUAGUCCACGCCGUAAACGAUGGAUGCUAGGUGUGGGAGGUAUCGACCCCUUCCGUGCCGCAGUUAACGCAAUAAGCAUCCCGCCUGGGGAGUACGGCCGCAAGGUUGAAACUCAAAGGAAUUGACGGGGGCCCGCACAAGCAGCGGAGCAUGUGGUUUAAUUCGACGCAACGCGAAGAACCUUACCAGGACUUGACAUCUGAUUAAGCUUGUGGAAACACGAGGUCCCUUCGGGGGAAUCAAGACAGGUGGUGCAUGGUUGUCGUCAGCUCGUGUCGUGAGAUGUUGGGUUAAGUCCCGCAACGAGCGCAACCCUUAUUUCCAGUUACUAACAGGUAGUGCUGAGGACUCUGGAGAGACCGCCGGGGACAACUCGGAGGAAGGUGGGGACGACGUCAAAUCAUCAUGCCCCUUAUGUUCUGGGCUACACACGUGCUACAAUGGUGACUACAAAGAGAAGCGAAAUCGUAAGGUAGAGCGGAUCUCAAAAAAGUCAUCUCAGUUCGGAUUGUGGGCUGCAACCCGCCCACAUGAAGUCGGAGUUGCUAGUAAUCGCGGAUCAGCAUGCCGCGGUGAAUACGUUCCCGGGCCUUGUACACACCGCCCGUCACACCAUGGGAGUUUGGAGCACCCGAAGUCAGUGAGGUAACCGCAAGGAGCCAGCUGCCGAAGGUGAGCCAGAUGACUGGGGUGAAGUCGUAACAAGGUA